Molecule: unclassified non-coding RNA, 348 nt
Filed under: soil metagenome
Description: partial contains 5.8S ribosomal RNA, internal transcribed spacer 2, and large subunit ribosomal RNA
Rfam family: 5.8S ribosomal RNA (bases 1-120)
Source: RNAcentral
GAUGAAGAACGUAGCAAAAUGCGAUAAGUAAUGUGAAUUGCAGAAUUCAGUGAAUCAUCGAAUCUUUGAACGCACAUUGCGCCCGCUGGUAUUCCGGCGGGCAUGCCUGUUCGAGCGUCAUUUCAACCCUCAAGCCCCCGGGUUUGGUGUUGGGGAUCGGCUCUGCCCUACUGGGCGGUGCCGCCCCCGAAAUACAUUGGCGGUCUCGCUGCAGCCUCCAUUGCGUAGUAGCUAACACCUCGCAACUGGAACGCGGCGCGGCCAUGCCGUAAAACCCCAACUUCUGAAUGUUGACCUCGGAUCAGGUAGGAAUACCCGCUGAACUUAAGCAUAUCAAUAAGCGGAGGA